UACCCUGAGAUGGGGUAGUACAGGCUGAGGGCUAAGCUAAGCAGAUCUCCCUCCCCCCACCCCCACCGCUAAGAAAUGUGCCUAAAGGGAAAGUUAUCUGCAGAUCUGGGCUUGGGCUCUCAUCCUUCUGUUAGGCAAUUUCCCUUACUCCCAGUCUCUAUUAAACAGAAACAGAAAAGUAUGUAGGUCACUCAGGAACCUACUCAGCUGGAUCUUGGUGUCUUGAGUCUCAAGGCAGGUUUCCUGAAAGGAAGAAGAAGGAGCUCCCUUUAGUGAGAAUCCAGAAAUUGGACGUCCCUUCGGCUGAAGGAGCCUGUGAGCCUAUCAAGAUGGCGCCUCCCACCUCCCUCUCUGAUGUGGAUCCUCUUGGAAAGUCUGGGCCCCUCUGAGGGUGUCCAGGCAGUCGUCCUAGAGCUCUGGGCAUGGACUUAGAUCAAAGUAUAUGUCAGACACUGGAGGGUAAUCCCAGGAAGUGAGGCAGACCCCCAGGAGUGAUGGCAUGGAUUGAACAGACUUACAUUUCUAGUGUUGUUGUUGCCUAGGAGAAGCCUCAUGUUUCUCUUAAGUGGUUCAAUUUCCUGGCAGUUGGUGAUGUUAUUCAGGACUUCCAGUGCUGCACAAAACUGUGGAGGAAAGAGGCCCAGGUUAUAUGAAGCUCUUUGAUUCCUGGAAUUCAGACCCUGCUUUUCUUGAAUUUGCUGUUCUUAAGCAGCAAGGGCAGCCCAUUGAGGGCACCAUCUGUGAGGGAAAAGGGGGCCAACCUCCAAAGGGCAAGUAGACACUGUAAUCAGCCCAAUGUUUAAUCUCCCAGAUCAUUAUGAUGAUCUACAAUUCAUCCUGUUUCCUCGGACCUGGGAGGAGAAUGGUCCUGAGGGCUUACAAUGGAGGAAAGCUUGGUUUAUGGAAGAAAGAGCUGAAUGAAAAGAGAGAGACUCUGCCAAGGAUUUGUUUGGUGAAGGAGAUAAGUGUGGAGGUCAGGAGAGUGAGCUGUAGGAUUUCAAAAGUCAGAGUUCAGGCGUCCCUGAGGUCCCAAGGAGCAAGGAGUGAUCCUCAAGUAAUCAGACCUAGUAGUUGAGACAAGAAUGCAUCUGGCAGUUGUUGUUGAUGUUGUUUGUUCCCCUCCCCCUCAACCAUUUCCCCCCAACUAAGAGGACCAAUGGCAUCAUGAGGUGAUGUCUUGGUUUGCAAUGAAUUGGAUUCAAAUGAGGCAAAGUUAUACAAAGUCAUUAGUCUUACUCUUUCUUCCAGAGUCAUCAAAGUCCAAUGGCAAGAAAGAAGUCAAAGCAACUGGCAAUGUCCUGGAAUGUAGUGGAUGAUCUUGGCAUCUUCAAUAUCCAAUCAAACUCUAAGCACUCCACAAUAUCUGCUUUGGCUGCCUUCAUGGCCAUUGGAACAAAUUAUACUUAUUUGCCCAUUUCAUGGCAGGAGUGGGUAUGGGUGGAUAUUAUGCUGCACAAAAGUAAAAUAAUGGGUUAUAUGGGAAUUUUUAUAAGGGUG
RNAcentral lists this long non-coding RNA (1497 nucleotides) under Monodelphis domestica (gray short-tailed opossum). Its description in RNAcentral is "lncRNA (ENSMODG00000036373.1)". Lineage: Eukaryota; Metazoa; Chordata; Mammalia; Didelphimorphia; Didelphidae. The record is from RNAcentral.